This 488-nucleotide ribosomal RNA is filed under the name uncultured fungus. Its description in RNAcentral is "eukaryotic LSU rRNA". The stretch from base 83 to 236 matches the Rfam family "5.8S ribosomal RNA". Lineage: Eukaryota; Fungi. The record is from RNAcentral.
CUCGGUUGCGGUCCACCCGUGGGCCGCUUCCGUUUCAACAUACCACAACCAGUCUCGGAUGUCAACAAACUAUACAAAUAACAACUUUUAACAACGGAUCUCUUGGCUCUCGCAUCGAUGAAGAACGCAGCGAAAUGCGAUAAGUAAUGUGAAUUGCAGAAUUCAGUGAAUCAUCGAAUCUUUGAACGCAUCUUGCGCUCCUUGGUAUUCCAUGGAGCAUGCCUGUUUCAGUGUCACGUAAACCCUCACACUUGUGAUGUCAAAGUCACGAGUUGUGGAUUUGGACCGUACCGUCAAUGGCUCGUCCUGAAAUGCAUUAGCUUGCGCUUGUUAGAUUGCUUGGCACGGUGUGAUAAUUAUCUGCGCCCUCGCCUUAGGCCUCUUCUAAAUGUGCUGCUUCCAAUCGUCUCUACGGACAAAUAAUCAAACUUUGGCCUGAAAUCAGGUAGGACUACCCGCUGAACUUAAGCAUAUCAAUAAGCGGAGGA